GUUAAGCGACUAAGCGUACACGGUGGAUGCCCUGGCAGUCAGAGGCGAUGAAGGACGUGCUAAUCUGCGAUAAGCGUCGGUAAGGUGAUAUGAACCGUUAUAACCGGCGAUUUCCGAAUGGGGAAACCCAGUGUGUUUCGACACACUAUCAUUAACUGAAUCCAUAGGUUAAUGAGGCGAACCGGGGGAACUGAAACAUCUAAGUACCCCGAGGAAAAGAAAUCAACCGAGAUUCCCCCAGUAGCGGCGAGCGAACGGGGAGCAGCCCAGAGCCUGAAUCAGUGUGUGUGUUAGUGGAAGCGUCUGGAAAGGCGCGCGAUACAGGGUGACAGCCCCGUACACAAAAAUGCACAUGCUGUGAGCUCGAUGAGUAGGGCGGGACACGUGGUAUCCUGUCUGAAUAUGGGGGGACCAUCCUCCAAGGCUAAAUACUCCUGACUGACCGAUAGUGAACCAGUACCGUGAGGGAAAGGCGAAAAGAACCCCGGCGAGGGGAGUGAAAAAGAACCUGAAACCGUGUACGUACAAGCAGUGGGAGCACGCUUCGGCGUGUGACUGCGUACCUUUUGUAUAAUGGGUCAGCGACUUAUAUUCUGUAGCAAGGUUAACCAAAUAGGGGAGCCGAAGGGAAACCGAGUCUUAACUGGGCGUUAAGUUGCAGGGUAUAGACCCGAAACCCGGUGAUCUAGCCAUGGGCAGGUUGAAGGUUGGGUAACACUAACUGGAGGACCGAACCGACUAAUGUUGAAAAAUUAGCGGAUGACUUGUGGCUGGGGGUGAAAGGCCAAUCAAACCGGGAGAUAGCUGGUUCUCCCCGAAAGCUAUUUAGGUAGCGCCUCGUGAAUUCAUCUCCGGGGGUAGAGCACUGUUUCGGCAAGGGGGUCAUCCCGACUUACCAACCCGAUGCAAACUGCGAAUACCGGAGAAUGUUAUCACGGGAGACACACGGCGGGUGCUAACGUCCGUCGUGAAGAGGGAAACAACCCAGACCGCCAGCUAAGGUCCCAAAGUCAUGGUUAAGUGGGAAACGAUGUGGGAAGGCCCAGACAGCCAGGAUGUUGGCUUAGAAGCAGCCAUCAUUUAAAGAAAGCGUAAUAGCUCACUGGUCGAGUCGGCCUGCGCGGAAGAUGUAACGGGGCUAAACCAUGCACCGAAGCUGCGGCAGCGACGCUUAUGCGUUGUUGGGUA
RNAcentral lists this ribosomal RNA (1188 nucleotides) under Escherichia coli. Its description in RNAcentral is "partial 23S ribosomal RNA". It matches the Rfam family "Bacterial large subunit ribosomal RNA", at positions 1 to 1230 of the family's 2925-position model. The record is from RNAcentral. Lineage: Bacteria; Pseudomonadati; Pseudomonadota; Gammaproteobacteria; Enterobacterales; Enterobacteriaceae.